GACGAACGCUGGCGGUGUGCUUAACACAUGCAAGUGGAGCGACGAACACGGGUUUGCCCUGGGGUAGAGCCGCGGACGGGUGAGUAACACGUGGGUAACGUACCCCGACUACCGGGACAACCAGCGGCAACUCGGGGUAAUUCCGGCCGUGCUCUUCUCCGAGCCGGAGGGGUGGAAAAGGAAAAUAGGCGCACGCAUCUGGGGAUGGCCGGGGCCGAUUUGCUUGUUGGUGGGGUAACGGCACACCAAGACCGAGAUGGGUAGCUGGUCUGAGAGGGUGAUCGGCCACACUGGGACUGAGACACGGCCCAGACUCCUACGGGAGGCAGCAGUGGGGAAUCUUCCGCAAUGCGCGACAGCGUGACGGAGCAACACCGCGUGAGUGAAGAAGGCUUUCGGGUUGUAAACCUCUUUCGUUAGGGACGAAGGCCUGCCGGUGAAUAUCCGUGCCGGUUGACGGUACCUCCACAGGAAGCCCCGGCUAACUACGUG
This 492-nucleotide ribosomal RNA is filed under the name uncultured bacterium. RNAcentral describes it as "partial 16S ribosomal RNA". It matches the Rfam family "Bacterial small subunit ribosomal RNA", at positions 28 to 507 of the family's 1533-position model. The record is from RNAcentral.